UUCUAAAGCCAUACCACUCUGAACGUGCCUGAUCAUGUCUGAUCUUGGAAGCUAAGCAGGGUUGGGCCUGGUUAGUACUUGAAUGGGAGACUGCUUGGGGACUAUCAGGUGCUGUAGGCU
Callithrix jacchus (white-tufted-ear marmoset) is the source of this 120-nucleotide ribosomal RNA. The record is from Ensembl. NCBI's taxonomy places the organism in Eukaryota, Metazoa, Chordata, Mammalia, Primates, Cebidae.